AUCUCGUUGUCGGGGAAGCUCGGAUAUCCACGAAGUUCGAAAGAAGUUCGAAGUAGGGUCGUCCAUGGCCAGAAGAAGUCUGGAAGGGAUUCCAAGAAUAGUUGAUCACUGUAGGCUGAUAGUGAAGCCCAGAGAGCCUUUGGAGCGGCCCGGUAGAUAAAUGGAGAAGCUCAUUACUGGAGAAGUCUGGAUGGUAUUAUGGAAGCUUGGAUGGUCGAGGGGGUUCAGAAAGACGUCACAC
Molecule: long non-coding RNA, 241 nt
Filed under: Elaeis guineensis (African oil palm)
Lineage: Eukaryota; Viridiplantae; Streptophyta; Magnoliopsida; Arecales; Arecaceae
Description: long non-coding RNA (EGUI_LNC061600)
Source: RNAcentral